CAGACAUCAACAGCACUGUGAAUGGAAGUGUGUACACAUGUACGGUUAACAAUAGUGCUAUACCACGUUCUACAACAAUACAGUUCACGCUGACUGUCAACCCUAAAAGUACAUAUGAUCCAGAACGCAUAUCUGCCUUAAGUGCAGGUGCUAUAUCGGGAAUUGUGAUCGCUGUUGUUUUGGCUCUUGCUAUUCCUACUGCGUGGAUUCUUUAUAAGAGGAAAAUAAAGAAGAACAAUGAAGAUGUGCAGAACGAAUCUAAUAAUUAACGAAAACCAAAAUCAAGUUCACAACCCUACAUGUUUCCGUAAUUAGUACUUGAAUAAUUUUCGUUUUCAAUUCGUAUGAAACUGAGUGUUCUAGUCU
Molecule: long non-coding RNA, 366 nt
Organism: Gigantopelta aegis
Lineage: Eukaryota; Metazoa; Mollusca; Gastropoda; Neomphalida; Peltospiridae
Exons: 3
Source: RefSeq, a predicted model, not a curated record